This 1069-nucleotide ribosomal RNA is filed under the name Acanthothecis socotrana. RNAcentral describes it as "eukaryotic LSU rRNA". It matches the Rfam family "Eukaryotic large subunit ribosomal RNA", at positions 143 to 1099 of the family's 3401-position model. Lineage: Eukaryota; Fungi; Ascomycota; Lecanoromycetes; Ostropales; Graphidaceae. The record is from RNAcentral.
UUGUAAUUUGUAGAAGGUGCUUCGGGGGCGACGACGGUGCAAGUUCCUUGGAAUAGGGCUUCAGAGAGGGUGAGAAUCCCGUACGGCCGGCCGUCAAUCCCAUGUGAAGCCCUUUCGACGAGUCGAGUUGUUUGGGAAUGCAGCUCUAAGUGGGUGGUAAAUUUCAUCUAAAGCUAAAUAUCUGUCGGAGACCGAUAGCGAACAAGUAGAGUGAUCGAAAAAUGAAAAGCACUUUGAAAAGAGAGUGAAACAGUACGUGAAAUUGUUGAAAGGGAAGCGCUUGCAACCAGACUUGUUCGCGGGGGCUCAACCUUCCCACGGGGUGGUGCACUCCCCCGCGAUCGGGCCAGCAUCGGUUUUGGCGGUCGGACAAAGAUUCCGGGAACGUAGCUCCCUCCGGGGAGUGUUAUAGCCCGGGGUGCAAUGCGGCCUGCCGGGACCGAGGACCGCGCUUCUGCAAGGAUGCUGGCGUAAUGGUUGCCAGCGACCCGUCUUGAAACACGGACCAAGGAGUCGACCAACCGCGCGAGUGUUUGGGCGUAAAACCCAGGCGCGCAAUGAAAGUGAACGGAGGUGGGAGCCCUCGGGCGCACCAUCGACCGAUCCUGAUGUCUUCGGAUGGAUUUGAGUAAGAGCACUGUUGGUCGGACCCGAAAGAUGGUGAACUAUGCGUGAAUAGGGUGAAGCCAGAGGAAACUCUGGUGGAGGCUCGCAGCGGUUCUGACGUGCAAAUCGAUCGUCAAAUUUGCGUAUAGGGGCGAAAGGUACGCUAACUCUUUUUACUCAACAUUUUAUCCUUUUACACGCCCCCAACUGGUCGGUUUGGCUUUGCUAACUUCAACCAGACCAAUCGAAUCAUCUAGGUAAAUAACCAUCUUACUAUCCCCCCGGUUGGCCGAUUCUAACAAUUUCUACAGUAGCUGGUUCCUGUCGAAGUUUCCCUCAGGAUAGCAGUAACGAAUAAACAGUCUCAUGAGGUAGAGCGAACGAUUAGAGGCCUGGGGGUUGAAACAACCUUCACCUAUUCUCGAACUUCGAAUAUGUGAGAAGUCCUUGUUUCUUAGUUGAA